UACGGAGGAUGCGAGCGUUAUCCGGAUUUAUUGGGUUUAAAGGGUGCGUAGGCGGAUUUUUAAGUCAGCGGUAAAAUGUCCGGGCUCAACCCGGGCCGGCCAUUGAAACUGGGGAUCUUGAGUGGGCGAGAAGUAUGCGGAAUGCGUGGUGUAGCGGUGAAAUGCAUAGAUAUCACGCAGAACUCCGAUUGCGAAGGCAGCAUACCGGCGCCCGACUGACGCUGAGGCACGAAAGCGUGGGGAUCGAAUAGG
RNAcentral lists this ribosomal RNA (252 nucleotides) under uncultured bacterium. RNAcentral's name for it is "partial 16S ribosomal RNA". It matches the Rfam family "Bacterial small subunit ribosomal RNA", at positions 524 to 776 of the family's 1533-position model. The record is from RNAcentral.